ACAGCUUUGGACAAAAGUCCACAGCCAGUGUGUUCCAAGUCCCUGCUCAAGGCUGGCUGUAGCGGGGGACACUCUCCUGCUGGCUCUCUGGGUCCACACUUAGCUGGCUCCUGUCCUCAGGUGCGACCACACCCUUGCACCCAACCUUGAUCCCCGAUGGGGGAAGUCCCAGGAUUUGUCAGCUGGGACAGGCCUCACCGCAUGAGCUCU
This is an unclassified non-coding RNA of Peromyscus maniculatus bairdii (prairie deer mouse), 210 nucleotides long. Ensembl annotates it as predicted gene, 27403. The record is from Ensembl. NCBI's taxonomy places the organism in Eukaryota, Metazoa, Chordata, Mammalia, Rodentia, Cricetidae.